This 1091-nucleotide long non-coding RNA is filed under the name Serinus canaria (Common canary). RNAcentral's name for it is "lncRNA (ENSSCAG00000009059.1)". Lineage: Eukaryota; Metazoa; Chordata; Aves; Passeriformes; Fringillidae. The record is from RNAcentral.
CAUGGGAUGGGACCCAUGGGAUAAGAUCUGCAGGAUAUCUCGGGUGGGAUGGGACACCUGAGAUGGGAUCCAUGGGAUGGGACACCUGGGAUGGAAUUCGUGGGAUGGGAUCCAUGGGAUGGGAUAUCUCAGGUGGGAUCCAUGGGAUGGGACACCUGGCAUGGGAUAUCUGAGGUGGGAUCCAUGGGAUGGGAUCCAUGGUGUGGGAUCCAUGGGAUGGGAUCCGCAGGAUAUCUCAAGUGGGAUGAGACUUGGGAUGGGAUCCAUGGGAUGGGAUCCAUGGGAUGGGACACCUGGGGAAGGAUCCAUGGGGAGGGAUCCAGGGGAUGGGAUCCGUGGGAUAUCCAGGUGGGAUGAGAGCGGCGGGUGUCCCCAGGCCAGGUGCAGAGCCGGGAGUGCAUCGAGCAGGUCAUCAGGUUCGCCUACGAGGAGAAGCUCUUCCUCCUGGCUGACGAGGUGUACCAGGACAACAUCUACGCCGAGGGCUCGUCCUUCCACUCCUUCAAGAAGGUCCUGGUGGAGCUGGGGCCGCCCUACUCGGACUCGGUGGAGCUGGCCUCCUUCCACUCCGUCUCCAAGGGCUUCAUGGGAGAGUGAGUCUGGGAAUGCCGGGAAUGGCACCGCCCCCCACACCCAGCCUGGUGGGAAAGUCCUCAUGGGUCCUGUGGGAUGUGGGGUGGAGGUGCCACCACCCCAUGGAUCUGCUGGGGUUGGAAUUGGGAUCAUGGAUUGGCAUGGAUGGGAUCCAUGGAUCUCCUGGGAUUGGGGAUGGAGGUGCCACCACCCCAUGGAUCUCCAUGGAUUUGGGAUGGAGGUGCCACCACCACCCCAUGGAUCUGCUGGGGUUGGGAUUGGAGGUGACCUUGGAUGUGGAUGUUGAGGUUCCGUGGGUGCCAUGUCUUAUCCAUGGAUUCCCAUCCUGGAGCCCCAUCCAUGGGUCCUGCCUAUGGAUCCCAUCCAUGGGUUCCAUCCAUGGAUCCCACCCACAUCUCCCAUCCAUGGGUCCCUCUCCAUAGGUUCCCAUCCAUGGAUUCCCACCCACGAAUCCCAUCCAUAGAUCCCCUUGAUGGAUCCUGCUCCAUAGGUUCCUA